Molecule: ribosomal RNA, 302 nt
Filed under: uncultured bacterium
Lineage: Bacteria
Description: partial 16S ribosomal RNA
Rfam family: Bacterial small subunit ribosomal RNA
Source: RNAcentral
GCAGCCGCCGCGGUAAUACGUAGGCAGCGAGCGUUGUUCGGAAUUAUUGGGCGUAAAGGGUGCGUAGGCGGCUUGACAAGUCUUGUGUGAAAUCCCCGGGCUUAACCUGGGAACUGCAUUUGUGACUGGCAAGCUAGAGUAUGGCAGAGGGGGGUGGAAUUCCGCGUGUAGCAGUGAAAUGCGUAGAUAUGCGGAGGAACACCGAUGGCGAAGGCAGCCCCCUGGGCCAAUACUGACGCUCAUGCACGAAAGCGUGGGGAGCAAACAGGAUUAGAGACCCCGGUAGUCCCUGUCUCUAUACC